CUGUAUGUAUUUUAUAACUAUUAAGCGUCACCUACAUAGACAGGAAAUGUAGAGACAUUAGAAAUCUGAGAGGAUGAAGAGAUGGAGUAGAGGAUUUGACUGUUCUGGAUGGUGUUACACUCCCCCUGAAGGACUGUGUCCACAGCUUGGAAGUGCUCCUGGAUCUGUCUCUCCAAAUGUCAUCCCAGGUCCAGGUUAUCUACAGGACCGCCUUCUCCCAUACAAUCCACUCCAAACAUUGAGGUCCUCUGGGAGGGCAAUUGAUGCAGUCUGCAAGAACCCAACUGGUGGCCGUUACCCAGAGGACCUUCUCAUCAGCUGCCCCAUGACUGUGGAAUGACCAGCUGGAAGAGAACCGACAGCUAAACCAGCUGUCUGAAUAUAAGUCACGUUUGAAGACCCAUCUCUUCCAGCAGGCCUAUCCAGGAUGGUCAAAUGCCUAAGGCAUUGUGACUUUCAUUGUCAGUGUCUGAAAUGUGAUCCCUUCUACCGAGAGUGGCUGUUUAUACACUACUGGAAGAGGAUGAUGUGAAGUUACAUACAAUGUUCACAUACUAACAAACAUAUUGAUGCCUCUUAUGAUUCACAGCAGAAGUACUGUCUGCCCAGCUGGACAACUGACCUCUGACUAAUGUCAGGAAUCUGUGCACAUAUUAGGAAUAAAGGGGUAUUCAUGAUCAUUUUAUUUUUGUUGUUUGUUGUUACAUGUACCUUCACAUUGACGUCAACUCAUGUGGGGAUCCUACCCCAGGGUUUUAUCAAUAAGAUGUAUUCAGAGGAAGUUUGCAGUUGGAUUCCUCUGUGGUGGAAAAGGUACAACUUGUCCAAAAUUAUCCAGUGGUUUUCAUGACUGAGCAGGGAUCUGAACCCUGGUCUCCCAAGCCCAGGAGGUCCUGCUAUGGCCAUUAAAUGGACAAGGAGGGAGAAGUGACCAAGCAGCAGAGAGUGCUUCUCAUCUCUUCUUCAGUUCUCUACACAGAAGGGACAGAAAUGGGGUAGUUGUUCUUUUCUCUCUGUCUAGAGAAUUGCAGUGACAGGAGGCAGUCCUCACUGCUUUGUCACCUCCUUUUCCUCCCCGCUCCCAUUCUCCUGGCUGUUUAAUGCCUUGAAAUGCCUCCUGGGACUUGGGAAUUGAAGGGGAAGGGGUGGAAGAGAUGCAAACUGUACACAGAGAAUGUUAUUCUCUGUGCAUUUAAUACAGGAUUGUUAUUACUCCCUGUUCUCUCUUGGUCAGCAGCAUAGAGGCGGUGGGAAAAGAUCUAAAGAGAAGCAGCAAUUCUGCACUUUUUCAUCCUGUACCUAGCAUGUCCAGUUAUGCAUCACCAAAAAAAAAAAAAUUGUCUGCAUUACACACACACACACACAGCAGGUAGAUGCAUUCAUGGAAGGUUUUAAAUUACAGAAUUACUUGAUGACCCUUAAGAUCUCUUCCAGUUCCUCUGUUAUAAUUAAAAAGCACUUGCUAUAAUUUCAGUAGAAAAAAUCCAUCUCUGUAAUAGUGGUAAACAGUAGGUGGCCUGUGUUUCUGCUCAGUCAAUUGUUCAGGUGCUAAGCAUUGUUGGGUAUCUUCAAGAACACUAUCAUCCCUCCUUAGGAUUCUUUUCUUUUCAACCAGAUGUAAACUGGGUAAUGCUUCACAGAGAGGACUACCUCUGUAAAAUAGUUUGCUCUUCCUUGCCCUGGGACAGGAGUAAGGAGCAGAUUCAGUUGCCACAGAAUCACUUAUCCAUUCUUGGUUGGUUCAGAGCAUUGAAAGAGUUGGCUGCACACUGAGGAAGUGAUUAAUAUUUUAAGGAAAUCCAUGAAUGACUUAGGGCUAGGAUUUUUCAAAGAUGUUGAGGUAAUACUACAGGAAGAGGAAACUUUGGCAGCAGCCUGCAUCUAUAUUGCAGAAAUAAUGUACUUUGAUGCAUUAUUUAACUCCAUGGCUCAGUGCCAUGCAAUUCUGAGAUUUGUAGUUUUGUGAGAUUUUUAGCCUUCUCUGUUAGAUAGCCCUGGUGCCGCAACAAACUACAAAUUCCAGGAUUGCAUAGAAUGGAGACAUGACAGUUAAAGCAGUGUCAAACUGCAUUAAUUCUGCAGUGUAGCAGCAGCCCUGGUGAGUUCUGAUGAAGGGAGGGGACAUGCACUAGGGAUCUGGAUAAUCUGACCCUCUGGAUGAUGUUGACUUUAACAUGCCCAGUGAUCAGGGAUGAUGGGAAUUGUGCUCUGACAACACCAAGAAGACCACCAAUUGCUUAUAUCUGGUAGAUUCCCUGGAGGAAGGGAGAAGGAGGAGAUGAUCUUGAGCACUCUCUAAUAGGACUGAGGAAACACUGACUUUACAUCUCUAGUGUAAAAGGGAGAUGAGUUCUGGCUCACAGACAGAAAAUAACAGAAAUGUACGUCAAGUGGCUGAUGACACUGCUGUUCAAACUUUGACUUUGUGUGAUAUUUGAAAAGGCUGCUAUGGUCAGAGGGGAAGGCAGCUGACCAUGAGAGCUGAUAAGCAGUGCAAAUAAAACCCUUUUGCCUUGGGAACAUCACACACCACAUGUGAUAUUAGCAGUUUUUAGAUUUGCAACAAUGAUUGGGAGAAGUCUUGGGGAUUGGUUUCUUACCAGUAAAAUAUUCAGAGCAGCAAAUGAACGAACCACAGAUUCUGAACUGAUUGGUUUGGGUUUGCCCUUACUGUAUGUCAGGAUUUGGGAAAGUUUUUUUAAAAACUACAACACUUGGGGUCCUCAGACAGUAUAGGAACUGAGGGUUCUGGAAGCUGUGAUGCAAACUUUUUUUUCUAGUUUAACUUCUGAUGUUACCACCUCUGUGUGUGUGGGAAAAAGGUGUGCUGAAGCAGGGGCCCUAAAAGCUCUGCAAAUGUUGAUAUUUCAUUUCAUUUUAAAACUUAACCUUCACCCACAUGGAUUUUUUUUAAAAAUAUACUGAAUGAUUUCUGGGGUAUUUUCUGGCCCCAUGGUAAUUACAGUAUUUCAAAAAAACAAAAAUGCCUUAAGUUUAUGAGUGUAAUGGAGGAUAUUCCACAGAAGUCAGAUCCCCAGAGCCAGAAAACACAUGUUCAUAUGAAGCAAAACAUUCAUUCUAAAUAGCUGGCAGACUGCCCUUUAUGUGAAAAACAAUGUAACCAGUAUAAUAUUGAUGUCCUAAAAUAUUUUUUUCAUUGUUGUCCUAAAAUGUGUUUUUCAUUGUGUGCCUUCAAGUCAUUUUUGAGUUAUGGUGACCCUAAGGCGACCUUG
This is an RNA transcript of Sceloporus undulatus (fence lizard), 3233 nucleotides long. RefSeq lists it as uncharacterized. The transcript has 4 exons. NCBI's taxonomy places the organism in Eukaryota, Metazoa, Chordata, Lepidosauria, Squamata, Phrynosomatidae. The record is from RefSeq and is a predicted model, not a curated record.